GUGACCCCAGGAUGGGCGAGGCCACCCGCCGAGUUUAAGCAUAUCAAUAAGCGAGGAGAGAACU
Molecule: ribosomal RNA, 64 nt
Filed under: Gongora sp. SRR-2011
Lineage: Eukaryota; Viridiplantae; Streptophyta; Magnoliopsida; Asparagales; Orchidaceae
Description: partial 26S ribosomal RNA
Source: RNAcentral